Molecule: long non-coding RNA, 761 nt
Organism: Carya illinoinensis
Lineage: Eukaryota; Viridiplantae; Streptophyta; Magnoliopsida; Fagales; Juglandaceae
Exons: 3
Source: RefSeq, a predicted model, not a curated record
UUUCCCCUCUUUUUCUUCUUCCCCAGCCCGAUACCCUAGUACCCCUUGCCGCCCCUUCCCACAUCUUUGUCUCUAUCACACAAAGUGCCCCAAGCCGCAUCGUUAUUGCCCCACGUCUGUGCUAAGGCCUCUCUGUCUCUCUCUCUGGCUGAUCUCUAUUUGCAGCACAUAACCCACAAAUCUGGUCGAUUGGUCCCUCACUUUCACUCCGAUAGAGAUUUUCUCUGGCCCACAAUAGCACGCCGCAAGAAGAAGAUGCAAUUAACAAGUGACCACAAAAUGACUUUAAGUUACUAAGAAGAAUACUGCAGCAUUUGCUACUACAUGGUUGCAAAGGCCUUGCAAGACUCUGCAUGAUUGAUACACAGCUCACCUAGAUGUCAAACCUGCAAAUAUUUCUAUCGAGAAUGGUGUUUUCUAAGAUCAUGAUUGGUGGAUGUGCAACUCUCUCUGACAAGAAUGAUGGCUUAUGUUCAACUAAUCAUGAUGUGUUCAAAAUUGGGGGUUGUUUAGAAUCUGUACUAUGAAAUGAUUUCAACUAUAUUCAUGUCAAACUCAAUACUUGGUUCCAAUUGGCACGUUUAAACAUGGUACGCCCUCCAAGUUUGAAGAAUGGUUGAAGAGAAGUUGGCACCCAUAUUUUUCAAUUAGUUCGAUGGGCUUGGUUUUUAUUUAUUACAAAAAUGAAUAGAUUAUCUUACGUUCGGCAAAGUUUGGUUUUAAUUAUAUUACUAUGAUCGUCUGUUUUGCUUAGAACUGUU